UUCUUUUGGUCUUAUGCAUGGCUAAGCGUGAAGUCAUCAUCUUUGAUUCUUUGAGGCAGAAGCGAAAUUUAGCAAUUAAGUUUGCAAUGACAAAUGCUUUUCGAAGUUUCAAGGCAUUAAGUGGACAAUCUAGGGGAAGUAAAUUGACAUGGCAUUUGGGACAGUGUCCUCAACAAUUGGGUGGACGUGAGUGU
This is a long non-coding RNA of Chenopodium quinoa (quinoa), 194 nucleotides long. RefSeq lists it as uncharacterized. The transcript is spliced from 3 exons. The record is from RefSeq and is a predicted model, not a curated record. NCBI's taxonomy places the organism in Eukaryota, Viridiplantae, Streptophyta, Magnoliopsida, Caryophyllales, Amaranthaceae.